This 465-nucleotide ribosomal RNA is filed under the name uncultured Klebsiella sp. RNAcentral describes it as "bacterial SSU rRNA". It matches the Rfam family "Bacterial small subunit ribosomal RNA", at positions 338 to 795 of the family's 1533-position model. The record is from RNAcentral. Lineage: Bacteria; Pseudomonadati; Pseudomonadota; Gammaproteobacteria; Enterobacterales; Enterobacteriaceae.
CCUACGGGAGGCAGCAGUGGGGAAUAUUGCACAAUGGGCGCAAGCCUGAUGCAGCCAUGCCGCGUGUGUGAAGAAGGCCUUCGGGUUGUAAAGCACUUUCAGCGGGGAGGAAGGCGUUAAGGUUAAUAACCUUGGCGAUUGACGUUACCCGCAGAAGAAGCACCGGCUAACUCCGUGCCAGCAGCCGCGGUAAUACGGAGGGUGCAAGCGUUAAUCGGAAUUACUGGGCGUAAAGCGCACGCAGGCGGUCUGUCAAGUCGGAUGUGAAAUCCCCGGGCUCAACCUGGGAACUGCAUUCGAAACUGGCGGGCUAGAGUCUUGUAGAGGGGGGUAGAAUUCCAGGUGUAGCGGUGAAAUGCGUAGAGAUCUGGAGGAAUACCGGUGGCGAAGGCGGCCCCCUGGACAAAGACUGACGCUCAGGUGCGAAAGCGUGGGGAGCAAACAGGAUUAGAUACCCGGGUAGUC